Molecule: long non-coding RNA, 2408 nt
Organism: Zea mays
Lineage: Eukaryota; Viridiplantae; Streptophyta; Magnoliopsida; Poales; Poaceae
Exons: 4
Source: RefSeq, a predicted model, not a curated record
AGUUCACAGUCCUGACAGACCCAUUAAUCUGAUAGAACAGUUAGCAUUAGGUAAUUAUUUUGGCAUUGGCAAUUUUGAUCUACUCCUAUUUUAAAACGCCAUCAUAGGGGUGCUUGCAUUUCUUGUUCAUGGUUUUAUUGCUCAAGUAAAAAUGCCUGCUUUUUAUAUUACUUAUUACAUAUGCAUGGAAAAGCAUGUAGAAGGUAACACCAAUAAAGUUUGGAUCAUAUGUUUCCAUCUAUAAUUGUUGUCUUGGUAUUCUCAAUCAGUGGACUUGUGCAUCGGCAAAAUUUGCAGUCUCCAUAAGGAUGCUAAUGAUAGGUCCUCAACACAAGCCUUAUUGGUAAGCUGAAAAACAGCUUCACACCUUCAUUUCAUUUCAAUAAUCGUCUGCAAGACUAAACCACUUAUCUUAUCCUUCCCUUUCUGUUGUCUUCGAUGCAGGACCAUCCAUUCUUGAGCGUGUAUGAUGACCUGCAUGUAGAUAGGACGAGAUCUCCCCUCGCCACCUUCAAGUAAUGAUAAUGUACUUGUUCUUUUAAUCUUUUCUUUUUAUGUAUCCAUCGUUGUGCACAUAAGUGAUACAUUUUAUUUUACAGUUUCAGGCAACUCUAAUUUUUUGUCCUCCUUAUUAAGCGAAGGGUGUGGUGACGCAUUUCCCUUAUUGGGCAAGGGUUGGGUUGUGUAGUGAGCUGUAAUGAUUCACAAUUCACCUGAUAUCAUGAUCUAGAUGGUUUUCUGAAAUGUGCAUUGAGCCAUUAGGAAACACAAAUGGGGUGUAUUGAUAACAAAUCUUUUUAGUCACAAAGAUUUUUUUUCUUGGAACCAUUAAUAGUUGGCCAACAGCUACAAUGGUACAAGCGUUUGUUUUAAUAUGUUGUGAAUUGCAAUGGUUGCAAGUGCCUUUGUUUUUUGUUUUGCAAAAAGCAGACCACUUAUCUGGUCUCAAGGUUCUUCAUGGCCUUGACUCUCAAAGAUUAGAGUAUUCUUGUCAAUGGGGAUAUCAAUGAAGGCUUGCUUCGCCUUUGUCACAAGCUUCAUUGUGUAAGGAAAGAAUAUGCAUACACAUUUAAAAGCACAAGCUUAUCUUAUCAGUGUUCCGAGGUUACCAGGAUCUUGCAAGGUAGGGGCACCAUAGUUAGCAUGAGACCCACUGAACGAAUAUGCAUAACUACAUUUGCAUUAAACAGAAGAUUGGGCCAAAUGAGCUACAACAUAAGAUUUUAUUUGAUAGAAGGGUCUAAUGAAAACAUUGGACCAUGAGAGUGCAGAGGCAGGGCCAUUGCUACUGCAAGUCGCCCCUAAGCCUGGUACUAAGAGUUGUAGGAGGCAAUAAUUCAUAGUUAUCUUUGCCUACAUGCUAUUCUCUAAACACAAUAUUUACGAGCUUGAUAGGCCUGUUUUGGAAUACAAAUUAUGUGUCCGAUAGGUAAAUAAUUUAUGCAAUGAUUCUUAGACCUUUGGCUCUUACUGCUUCAAGGAUUAAUGUGUGACUGUUUAGCCUUCAUUCCAAGCGGUAUGCCACUAAUCUCAAAAAUUGCUUCUACGCAAUAUUUACUUGAUAAUUUAUAGAUUUGUUGUUCCUUAGAGAUAUUUUUUCAUGUAAUAGGUUAUAAGGUUGUUCAUGACAUAUAGAGGUUUGUUGGUCAUAACUUAUACUAUAUGAAGAUUAUGGGAGUCAGCCCUAAAUUCACAUUUUCUGCAAUCUACAGAUUCAUGUAAAAAAGUUCAAUCUACAACAGCAUUUCCUCAAAAUGUCUAACAGACUUGUUUUCUUCAGGCUAGGGACCCAGGGGCUACACAUCUUAUAACUGAAAAACACAUGAGCAGUUUAUGAGGUUGUCAAGUUUUCAUUUCAAUGCAAAUCCAGCUGGACAACACCAUGUCACAAAGCAGUGUGCUUCUAGCUACAGUUCAGUCUUGGCGUCAUCGAAUCAAUGAAACAUGAAGUUAGAAGCACAUUGAGAUCCAGUGGCUUGUGACCAGUGGCUUGUGACUCCUUGACCCUUUAGAGGAAGCGCGCUAGAGUCGUUGGCAAGAAGAAGAGGAUCGCCAAGAAGAAGUCUGAGGCUGCCGAGUAACAAAAGCUUCUUGCUCAGAGGCUGAAGGAACAGAGAGACCGUGAGAGCUUGGCCAAGAGGGGGUCCAAGCUUUCUGCCGCUUCCAAGGCUUCCGCUGCCACCUCUGCUUAAGAAUGUUCGAUGCUUUGAGAUGUUUCAAGACCUAUCUUGUUAGAGCUUAAAUACCUUAUGCUACUCUGAUUGUGUUGCAACUUGCAACUGCCCCUGUACUUGAUAGAUUUGUAUUAGAUGCUCAAGCUAUAGAGGGUAGGUUCCUAAUUAUGGCCAUGUGACUAUGUACUAAAUUAUAUAUCUGUUGCUAAUUUACAAUACAUACAAAAUAAGUUU